Molecule: ribosomal RNA, 254 nt
Filed under: uncultured bacterium
Lineage: Bacteria
Description: partial 16S ribosomal RNA
Rfam family: Bacterial small subunit ribosomal RNA
Source: RNAcentral
UACGUAGGGUCCGAGCGUUUGUCCGGAAUUACUGGGCGUAAAGAGCUCGUAGGUGGUUUGUCGCGUUGUCCGUGAAAACUCACAGCUCAACUGUGGGCGUGCGGGCGAUACGGGCAGACUGGAGUACUGCAGGGGAGACUGGAAUUCCUGGUGUAGCGGUGGAAUGCGCAGAUAUCAGGAGGAACACCGGUGGCGAAGGCGGGUCUCUGGGCAGUAACUGACGCUGAGGAGCGAAAGCGUGGGGAGCGAACAGG